This 468-nucleotide ribosomal RNA is filed under the name uncultured bacterium. RNAcentral's name for it is "partial 16S ribosomal RNA". It matches the Rfam family "Bacterial small subunit ribosomal RNA", at positions 28 to 507 of the family's 1533-position model. The record is from RNAcentral.
GACGAACGCUGGCGGCGUGCUUAACACAUGCAAGUCGAACGGAAAGGCCCUGCUUUUGUGGGGUGCUCGAGUGGCGAACGGGUGAGUAACACGUGAGUAACCUGCCCUUGACUUUGGGAUAACUUCAGGAAACUGGGGCUAAUACCGGAUAGGAGCUCCUGCUGCAUGGUGGGGGUUGGAAAGUUUCGGCGGUUGGGGAUGGACUCGCGGCUUAUCAGCUUGUUGGUGGGGUAGUGGCUUACCAAGGCUUUGACGGGUAGCCGGCCUGAGAGGGUGACCGGCCACAUUGGGCCUGAGAUACGGCCCAGACUCCUACGGGAGGCAGCAGUGGAGAAUAUUGCACAAUGGGCGGAAGCCUGAUGCAGCAACGCCGCGUGCGGGAUGACGGCCUUCGGGUGGUAAACCGCUUUCGCCUGUGACGAAGCGUGAGUGACGGUAAUGGGUAAAGAAGCACCGGCUAACUACGUG